UUAAGUUCAGCGGGUAACCCUACCUGAUCCGAGGUCAAACUAUUGAAGUUGGGGGGUUUGACGGCUGGCCUCCACCGGGACCCAAUGCGAGUUGUAAAACUACUACGCAGGGGGCGCCGCGGCAGGACCGCCACUACAUUUCGGGGCCUACGGGGGAGCGCUGGGCUCCUCCGUAGCGCCCCAACACCGGGCGCGGCCCU
RNAcentral lists this unclassified non-coding RNA (200 nucleotides) under fungal sp. Its description in RNAcentral is "partial internal transcribed spacer 2". Lineage: Eukaryota; Fungi. The record is from RNAcentral.